GAGAAAGCAAAAUACCAGUGGUGCCUGUAAUCCUGGAAAAGAAUGUCUAUUGAGACCAUGAGAAACAGCAACAGUUGGUUGGCCUCCAGCUAGAACAGAGGAAAGGCUCCUUCCUCCACCACUGUUUUGUGUACUGACAAAUAGAUGAUAUCGCAGUCUACUAGUUGCAUUAUAUAUUGCACUUUGAACAUUCAAAAACUCCCCUGACACCUGUACCAAUUGAUCAUUUUCUGAUACACACUUUGGAGCCUGAUCAUGGCCAAUUAUUCUUAUAUGCGUCCCUGUGGCUUUCCUCAUUUCUGAGAUGAUUGCCCCACCUUUCCCUAACAAGCAACCAACUUGGUUUGACGAGAUUACAAGACGUGCACAAACAGAUGUUCCAUUUUUCGCUUUCAAGUCUAGCCCCUUCCCAACACCAGCCUCAACAGACUUGGAGAAAACAAGCACAACGGCCUUCUGUGCAGCGGAAUAGUUUGAUUCAGCAUUCUGCCAAAAAGUAAGUCACCAGCAAAAAAGAAAUAUUAAUAGACAAUGUACUACACUAAUAUACACACAAGGCAAUAAACAUAAGUACAAGCAAAAAGAUUACUUUUAACAAACCUCUGAAGCAGUAAUAGUAAUUAGUCUAUCCUCGCACUCAACUACUGAA
RNAcentral lists this small RNA (649 nucleotides) under Vigna angularis var. angularis. Its description in RNAcentral is "Non-protein coding transcript". The record is from RNAcentral. Lineage: Eukaryota; Viridiplantae; Streptophyta; Magnoliopsida; Fabales; Fabaceae.